AUGAACGCCACGAUGGACACUACGGAAAGCACCUUCCAAUUCCCGAUCAACAUGGUGGAUGUCACCAUGACGGACACGACGAGAAGCAUGACCCAACUCCCGAUCAGCACGACGGACGUCGCCACGACGGGCACAGUGGGAAGCAUGUCCCAAGUUCUGAUCGGCACGGCGAACGUCGCCGUGACGGACACGACGAAAAGCAUCUACCAAGUGCCUACCUGCACGGCGAACGUCAUCACGAUGAACACAACGGAAAGCAUCUCCCAACUCCCGAUCUGCACAGCAGGCCAAGUCUCCUCGCGCGAUAUGCCACAACUGUGCAGCAUGCCGGCUAUUGCUACUAUGGAAGCUGGUUCGACUACAACAGAAGGAACCUGCUCACCCUCCUUCCGUAAACCAAGAGGCUACUCUGCAUUUGCCUCCGCAUCUAGCUGUCAGCAAACCCAUCUCACAUGCCUUGAUGUGGUCGUCCAAAGUGCUACAACUACAGAACAUGAACUGUGCUUCAGUACAAGACAUGGGGCUUCAGCUAUGGGAUUGGGCAAUAGCUCGCAUGAUGAAGUAAAUGAGGAAGAAUUUGCUACGCCGAAAAAGAAAGCCAACAUUCCUCUAUUUUGCUCAGCUUUUACACCGAGAUGUGACGAGAAACUGAAACCUAAAGCAGGGAUGAGAUUUGAAGGGCUCGAGGCUGUGGAGGAGUUCUACAAGCCCUAUGCACAUCAAGUGGGUUUUGGAGUUCAUGUUGGACAACAAAAAAAGUUGAACAAGGACGUUGUCCAGACAAAGUGUUUCAUGUGCAGUAGGGAAGGUUUCGUGUUUGAGAAAAGCAAGGAUAUUAAAGAUCUAUCACUGAAAAGUCGUAAGGUUACGACCAUGCGAUGUGGUUGUAAUGCACAUAUCUUCAUCAAGUUGUGUGGCGAAAACACCUACAUGAUACACUCAUGGGUUGAGCACCACACCAUGGCCUUGUAUCUCCUGAUAAACUAUAACGCCCCGAGCCCGAUCCGCUAG
RNAcentral lists this ribosomal RNA (1011 nucleotides) under Triticum aestivum (bread wheat). RNAcentral's name for it is "partial small subunit ribosomal RNA". Lineage: Eukaryota; Viridiplantae; Streptophyta; Magnoliopsida; Poales; Poaceae. The record is from RNAcentral.